UACAUAGGGAGCAAGCGUUAUCCGGAUUUAUUGGGUGUAAAGGGUGCGUAGACGGGAAAUUAAGUUAGUUGUGAAAUCCCUCGGCUUAACUGAGGAACUGCAACUAAAACUGAUUUUCUUGAGUACUGGAGAGGAAAGUGGAAUUCCUAGUGUAGCGGUGGAAUGCGUAGAUAUAUGGAAGAACACCAGUGGCGAAGGCGGCUCUCUGGUCUGCAACUGACGCUGAGGCUCGAAAGCAUGGGUAGCGAACAGG
This 253-nucleotide ribosomal RNA is filed under the name uncultured Eubacteriales bacterium. Its description in RNAcentral is "uncultured Clostridiales bacterium partial 16S ribosomal RNA". It matches the Rfam family "Bacterial small subunit ribosomal RNA", at positions 524 to 776 of the family's 1533-position model. Lineage: Bacteria; Bacillati; Bacillota; Clostridia; Eubacteriales. The record is from RNAcentral.